Molecule: long non-coding RNA, 1379 nt
Filed under: Homo sapiens (human)
Lineage: Eukaryota; Metazoa; Chordata; Mammalia; Primates; Hominidae
Description: HSALNT0368923
Source: RNAcentral
AGCCUUUUCAAAUUUUCCAGGAAAUUGGUGGCUUCUUCCCCUAUGUUCCUAUUGCCCUUUGGGAAAAGCUUGGUUAUAGCACUUAGGAUUUACAUUUUAAUGAUUUUUUCUGUGUCUUUCUUUUCAGCCAGGCUGUGAGUUCUCUGAGGCAGCCAACUUGAUUCAUCUUUGUAUCUUUACAGCAUGAUAGCUUAACAAAUGCCGAAUGGCUGGCUAAAGAAUCAGAAUUGAGACUUCAGCUGUUUGACUCCAGCUGCUAACCUCUAGACUGUUAAGGGUAUUUGAGCUUAUACUCUAUAAACAGAAUUCAGAAUCCUCCGGAGGCCCACCCAGCCCACUUCAUCCAGCCUCUGUGUCCUGGGAGGUCUUUACAUGUGAGAACGGUAAGGCCUAAGCCUCACAGAAGAGAAGACCAGCUGUGUAAAAAUUAACUAAUGAAGUCCAGGAUCAUAGAAAUAGAAUUGUGGUAUGUGGUUACUUCUCUUCAUGAAGAUUUACUAUCUAACCUGAACAGACAUGCUGCUGUGUGACAGGAAUUUAUUUACUGUUCAAACCUGACCUUUUCCCGUGUGGUGGGAGAUUGCAUUACACUGGGUGGCUUGGAGAUUUAUUGUCUCUGUUUGGCUGCAGUGGCAUUUCCUGACUAUUGGCUGCUGAGACCCUCCUAAACUCAAGCACAGAAAAUCCUGACCUCAAAGUCCCUCCUCCAACUGGGGGCAGAUUUCUUGAGGGCAAAGUAUUAAUAGAUUUAAAGGACAAGUUUGCAUGGAAGCAAGUGAAAGCACAGGGGACAGUGUAAUGAUAAAAACACACAGGUUGCCUUCUCACCUCCCAUGCAAACUAAGACAGAUAAGUUCAAGCAGGCUUGAGACCCCGGGAACCCUGCAGGCAGGUGGCAGAUGCAAGAUCUGAAACCACAAGGAAAUGAAAUAGGACUCCUCUCUCCCUCGCCCCCUCCUUAAUUGUCUCUCUACUCCAUAUCUAGGUCACAGCAUCAGUUUUCCAAACCAGAGAAGAGUCUCAAAGUGUCUUCUGCAAAUGGCACCAAUCUCAGGUGUUACUCAUGCCUUUCUGAGAAAAUGUCUUGAAUAUUUCAUCAAAUGUGAGGGGAAAAAUCCAUAAAUAUGUAACUUCGACCCAUGUGAUGACAAGCCUUUGGCUAGUGCUGUUGCCAGCCAUGCUUUGCAGUCACUGACACAAACAGCGGGGGACGCAACUGAGGCAGGACCAAGCCCUCCAUUUUGCCAUCUGCUUGUUCUGAAUUUCUGAACUGGGCCAAGUCGAUGCUGUUUUUCACGAAAAUCUCUCCAUGGGUGGAAUACAAUGCAGCCAUAAAAAAGAAUGCGUUCAUGUCCUUUGCAGGGACAUGGAUGAAGCUG